AACGUAGGUUCCGAGCGUUAUCCGGAUUUACUGGGCGUAAAGCGCGUUCAGGCGGUUUGGCAAGUCGGGCAUGAAAUCUCUCGGCUCAACCGGGAGAGGUUGUCCGAUACUUCCAGACUUGAGGGCAGUAGAGGGUGGUGGAAUUCCGGGUGUAGUGGUGAAAUGCGUAGAGAUCCGGAGGAACCCCAGAGGCGAAGGCGGCAUCCUGGCCCACGACUGACACUCAGACACGACAGCAUGGGGAGCGAACGGG
This 253-nucleotide ribosomal RNA is filed under the name uncultured bacterium. Its description in RNAcentral is "partial 16S ribosomal RNA". It matches the Rfam family "Bacterial small subunit ribosomal RNA", at positions 524 to 776 of the family's 1533-position model. The record is from RNAcentral.